CUGUGGUGACUUUAUCACAAGGCAGUUUUGUUUAGAGCUGGUGCCUAGUGACCACUGGGAUUGGUAGAGUGGAAGGCAGGGAGUGGUAGGGUGGAAGGCAAGGAGGUGAACAGUAGGUGGCGCUACCGCCAAUGACAGGCAAAGCUGACCAAUCCUAGUUUUGCCCCUUCUUCCUCCCUGCAGAGUUCUAUGAGGGUAACACUGAGAUUGAGGAGGAAGAAGCCAACAGACAAUGUCAUCCUCUGGACUGGAUGUAAGUAAUUUAGAUACUGUAUAGUUUUGAUCCGGUUUUAAGGAAGAAGAAGGGAUGGGGUUUUAUGAAAGUCUCAGUUUCAAGCUUAUCCACAUUGAUUUUUUUUCUGUUUUCCAUCUCGCCCCUUGAUUUCAACAAGAAGCAAGAUAUUUCCCAGUUCCACUAAAAAUGCAAGCAACUCUCACAUUGUCAUUCAUAUAAUAUUGCAUACACAUUAUGCAGAUAUAUACAUUCCAGGUUUCCUUAAGUAACCAGCUCAUAAACAGAUAUGUACAGCAAUGCCUAUAACUGUAGAAAAAAUAUUUGUGCAUGAGUAACUUACCAGUUGUGCUGUAGAAAUAUAGUACAGCAUGAAGCUUGACUCUUAUUACACACACACACUGUAUACAUAAAGAAUUUUGCAUAUUAUAAGUUGGGCUUUUUUAGAAAACACACAAUGCGCAAGCAGCUUGGAUAUAAGAUGGAUCUUGCAAAUCUCAGUUGGUUUGGAACUGCCAAAUAUUGUAUAUAAAUCCAUGUAAAAUGGAUUCCUCCAUCAUCCUUAGGGAGAACCCUUAGGAACAGCUUUAAAUAACAGUAGCUGUUCCUGGAAGGUACAGAACUCCUAAGAUAGGGAAUGGCCUUAUACUGACUCUACCCAUUGAUCCAUCUGACUCAUUAACAGCUACUGUUGGUAGGAGUGGUCUAAUAUGUCAUUUUAGAUGCCACCCCCCCCCAAUCCUGUUACCUGAGAUUAACUGAACCUGGGAUAUUGGGUGAGUUAGUCAUUGAGCUGUGAACUAUCAUAUAUCCCUAUAUUAUAUUAUUAAGGCCCGCAAGGUCAAUUAAAAGGUAAAGGUAAAGGUACCCCUGCCCGUACGGGCCAGUCUUGACAGACUCUAGGGUUGUGCGCUCAUCUCACUCUAUAGGCUGGGAGCCAGCGCUGCCCGCAGACACUUCCGGGUCACGUGGCCAGCGUGACGAAGCUGCUCUGGCGAAGCGGCACCAGAGCAGCACACGGAACGCCGUUUACCUUCCCGCUAGUAAGCGGUCCCUAUUUAUCUACUUGCACCCGGGGGUGCUUUCGAACUGCUAGGUUGGCAGGCGCUGGGACCGAGCAGCGGGAGCCCACCCCGCCGCGGGGAUUCGAACCGCCGACCAUGCGAUCAGCAAGUCCUAGGUGCUGAGGUUUUACCCACAGCGCCACCCGCGUCCCUGCAAGGUCAAUUAGGUUGGUUUUAUUCUGAUUUAUCUCAGUUUGCUUUAUUUUAUUGCAUCUGCCAGGAAGCUAGCCCUACCCUGCUAGUUGUUUUGGUUUCAACCUCUCCAUUCCCCAGCCCAGCCCAGAGCCUAAUCAAGCCUCGCCACCCCAAACAAUUUUUUUUCUGGACCUCCGGAACCCUACCAAUUUUGGCAGAGGUUUAAACAUAAAUUAAAUUUAAGUAGGCACAGCACUUGCCUGGGGGAGUCAAUUGCUCCCACCCUAGUUAUCAAUUUUUCAAGUGAAGAGGGGGCAUUAAAAGUUCCUCCUUAGCUGAUCUGCACAGUAUAUGUGUAGUGAAAGAGUACCAGUAGCCACAUUCACUGCUGACAUUGGCCCCCUGGAAGGUUCAUCAAGGGAGACUGCGGCCCUCCAGCAAAACAAUAUUGACCACCUCUGAGUUCCCUUUCUCUCUCUCUCUUAUUCUCUCCCAUAGCAGUCUGUUGUUCUUUUUAUAUGAAAAUACCAACCUCAUACCCUACGAGUGUCCUGGAAAAAACAGGACAUCCCUUUUUUUUUUCCUCACGAGAGAACAGUGGCCAUUUUGGACGUUGCGAUCUCGCAUGAUUUCACAUCACUGUUUCCCCAUGAAAAAACUUUUUUUAAAAAAGUGGUGCGAUCUCUCACGGCACCCCAAAAUGCACAUUCAUGGGUGCCAUGCCCCCCCAUGCUUUUCCAGGGAGAAAUCGCAGCGCAAAAUUUUGCGAGAUCACGGCCUCCAAAAUGGCCGCCGUUCUCUCGCGAGAUCGUGUCCCGGAUUUUGCAGUCAAGGUGUGGGAGGGUAUGCAUCCUCCCUGCCCUGGUGUGGACUAGAGCAGGCAUAGGCAAACUCGGCCUCCAGAUGUUUUGAGACUACAAGUCCCAUCAUCCCUGACCACUCGUCUUGUUAGCUAGGGAUUAUGGGAGUUGUAGGCCAAAAAACAUCUGGAGGGCCAAGUUUGCCUAUGCCUGGACUAGAGGGCAGGAAACCCAGAUGAAUCGCCUCCAACCAUCACUUACCUUGCACUGUCCCUCUUAUCUCCUAUGGAGAUGCACCUUCUGAACAUCACAGCAAACAAAAUGCCUUCAUCCUUGCCCUGCUUAGUGGAGGCUGAGCCAUUAGGGUAGAUGGAGCACUGUCCCACCAACCUCAGGUGUCCUGCUAGCUCCCCACUCUCUUCCUUCUUGUCUACUUCUUACCUGCAGUCAGGAGGUGGUUGCUGGAACCAUUGGCCUCCUUGCCUUCUGCCCUACCAUCUCCAAUGGUCACCUGUCCACAGAAAUCUGCUAGGAAGCCAUAGGGUGGUGGUGAUCAUUCUGUGGUCUCAAGAAGCCCCUUGCCUGCUCUCCAUUGUCUGCCGGGGUUGAGAAAGUGGUGACCUUCAGUGCAAACCUUCCUCCCAUUUUGUUUUCCUUCCUGGCACCAUCCCAUGAGUAUGAAGGAUGGAGCCAGAAGCAUUACAAGUGACUCAGGUGUACCCCGGCACGAUAAAAGAUCCUGAGCUCUGCUUCCUCUUACUCACAUCGCAGAUAUUGCUAGAGUAAACAGUCCUCUUAGAAACACAGUUCCAUCAAGGCCAUUCCUGAGCCUCAAGAUCUACUUCCUGGGAGGUCGCCAAGAACAUCUUACCGUACAUGAGUGCAGUAACACAGGCAAGGGGAGUGUUCAAAGUGUCUGGACAGGAAAAGUUUGAAUGCCAGCCAGAGGAAUCUUUUGGUUUCAAAAUGUUCAGGAUUUUGAGCACUUUCCCUGACUUACAGCUCCAUAGCACUUUACCAUAAGAAGUUCAGACUUGUCAGCCAUCAAUUCAUUAAGAAAUGAAUGGUUUCUCAUUUCAGGUGGACCUAAGCUGCAGAAUUCUGAAGGAUUUGGCAUGAAUGAGCACUAGAUUUGGGUUCAGAGCUGAGGUAUAAGAGGCUUGCUUCAAACUUCUUAUGAUUCUCUGCACAUUGUCAAUGCCUAAGAGGCUGGCAGCUGGAAACCCCAAAGUCAAUGAGAUAUACCAGCUGGACUCUUCUCCAUUGCCAUCUCAGGGAGGUUUGGUGGUAUCUGGAGGAGAUGGUGGCUCUGCCAGUUAGGGAGGACAAAUCUGUCCCAGGAAAUGAUCCAUAAUGAAUUGAAAAAAUUGUUUAAAAGUACUUUCCCCAAAGUCCUUUCUGCUGGGAAUAAUUCAGACUGAAAUUCCCAGGUGUCAAAAAAGGUUAUUUAUGUAUGCCAUUACUGCGUCCCAUGUUUUGUUAGCCCCAAAAUGGAAAACGAGUGAGGUCCCAACCAAAGAACAAUGCAACUCAAGUUGACAGAAUAUGGGCAGCUUGCAGACUUAACAUAUAGAAUAAGAGAACAAGAAGAACAUACGUUUAAAGAUUGGAAAAUGUUUAUUGAAUAUAUGGGAAAUAACUGUGUACAGCUGAAAACGCUGGCAGCAUUAAGAUCAAUUCAACAGUGUAAAUAAGUUUUGAUGGAUGUAAUAAUGGAAUACUGAAUGGUAUAGUUUCUGUAAAAUAUGCAGGGAUUUAUGAUAUGUAAAAAUGAACAAUGGAAAGGGAAGAAGGGAAGUCACUGAUAUCUUAAGGAUGUAAAAACGAGUACUUUAAAUUGUAAAACAGAAAAUUUAUAUAUAUAUAGGAGGAAAAAUCUGUCAAUUUCCAUUCUGUCAAUUUCUUCUUUUUCCAAUCCUAAAUUCCAUUCUCCACAUAGAAGUCAUAGAAUCAUGCAGCUGAAAGGGACAAGAGGGUCAUCUAGACCAACCCCCUGCAAUGCAGGAACCCAGCUGUCCCUGGGUGGGCUCAAACCACCAACCUUCUGGUUAACUGCUAGAUGUACUGACCCAUUGUGCCACCUGAGAUUUCUGCAGCGUUUUUGUUUUUAUUUUUUAAUCCUCAUGGAAAUUCAUCACCAUUUCAAUGUGACUUUCUCCUAAAAAACACAUGCUGCUUUGACAUCCAUGUUUCUGCAAGCGUUUUCAUCCAAUGUAAUGAAUUUCAAGUGUGCUGUUUUCACCAAUACGCGCAUUUUGUGCACCUUGUAAGAUAUGACCCCUUUUUUUACACAUUGCUUGGCUGAAGUUACAGAGACGAAAGCUGGCAACACUAACCCUGUUGUGUGGGAAUCCCUUCAGACCACUGCAAUGCCUGAAGACAGACAGCAAGGUCCUGCAGCCACAGCAGUGACCAGAGGAGGAAUGACCACUGGGAGGAACACAGAGGAAAAAACUGCUUUGGUGCAUCUACAGUAGCACAGCUGGAUGCCUUCAUCUGCCUCAGCUGCAAUAAAACAUUUGUCUCUACAGCCACAGCAGGCACUGUAGCCUUCCAACAGUUCGACCUCACCCCUGAAGGUGCACUCCUCCAUUAUCUCCCAAGACAGAUAGAUGCCAACAGCAACUUGGCUGAAGAAAUGCGCUGCAAAUUUCAGAGGAGUGUGAAUUUCAAAUGACAACUGUGCUGGGCCUGGGGGUAAACCCAAGCAACGCAGUCCAGGUCCGGUCCUAAAUCCAAGGGUUCAGCUAAGAGUCAGUCUGACAGGGUCAAGGCAGGAAACCAGGCUAGGUCAGGCACAGGGUCACAGGCAGGUUCUAGCAAACAGCAAUGUUGCUCCCGCAACCUGGGGCGGGGUCCGACAGCCUUUUAUCUUUGUUGGGGUAACGGCCGGUCCUGAUCCCCUGGUGACUCACCUCUCUGUCUCGCCCGAAGGCGAGCACUCCUCCUGUGAGUAUUCAGGUCUCUCCUUCUCUCAGACCUGAGUCUCUGCAACUCGGGAGACGUCGGUGGGUUACUAGACCCAGAGGCCGCCUCAGCCUCCCCUGACCCAACCAGUAGUGGAGCAGCUGUGAGUGAUGGCCCAGCUGAAGGCAACGAGGUAAUCCCUGCAUCUGAAGCCAGGGCAGGCUCAGGCCCCUGACUCAGCCCAGCUGGUGCUUGUUGCAGGGGAAACUGUGCAGACUGGGGCUCUUCAGAAUCAGACCCCAGACUUGGUUCAGAUGCCACCUGAGGCAGAAGAUUCGGUGCGGACUGAGACUCCUCUGGUUCCGACUCCGAGCCCGAGUCCCAGGCCAUCACAACAACUGUGUUUCGUGGAUUUGUUGAUUUGGAAGGGACCCGUAGGGGCAUCCACAGAAGAAUCACAUCUAAAAUUUCCCUGACAGAUGGCCACCCAAUCUCUGCUUGGAAACCUCAAACAAAGGAGAGUCUGCCAUUUUCUGAGGUUCACAUCUUGUUUCAGAUAGUGUGAAUGUCUUAGGUUUACCUCUUAAUGCAGACUGAACUGAACUUUCUCCCUCAUUCCUAGUGCCAAACUGGACACUUUGGAAGGAUAGAAAAAGCCCACCGCCUCCCUCCUCCCUACUCAAAGUAUUCCUUCUGGAAAGCUAUUUUCCAGUUCAGACUUUCCACAAUCCUCAGCCAUCACAGUACUGAGUGGAUCCAUUUAAGAUGCAGAGGGAUCACUCACCGGUAACAUUUGCAGUCCUGGAAUAUAAUAUAUCUUUAUUUGUAGCAGGGCCUCAUGUUCCACCCCCACCCAUGGUUGUUGCUGGGUUUUUUAACAUAAAGACAACCAUUUCAGUCUGUGUGGAUAGGAUCUAUAUAUAUAUAAAGGCUGAAAUUAUGGCUUGGAAAAUAUUCGUGCCAAGGUAUUUCUAUAGGACCAAGUAUAAGCAGGAGACAUUUCUAAGCCUGGAACAUUUGUGGACAAGUUUCUGACAUGUUAUUUAGGUUACGGUGAUUGGAGCAGAUGUGUCACAUGGAACAUUUCCUGUGCUUUGAUUGGGGGAGUGCGGGUUACACCUUCAAUGGACGGCCCUUCAGUUGGUCAGAGUCCAGUCAGUGCUCUGUGUGUUUCUGACAUUGACACUCUUUUUCCAUAUCUAUCUGUGCCAGAGAGACUUGGUUACUGAAAUAUUCCUCAAGAGUUCGUGCAACUGCUCCUUUGAAAGAUACUGCAGGAGUUCUAAAUAAGUAUGUGUGCCUUCAGAAGCAAGGCUGAAUUUAUAUUUUAUUCACCAUGGGGUAAACAUUUGAACAAUACCUUAUUCUAGAAGGAUCAACCUUACCAGGACCUGCCCGCUUUCAAAACGUCGAAUUUCAGGUGGUCCCCUUCAAGGAACCUGCUCUCUGCC
Molecule: long non-coding RNA, 6589 nt
Filed under: Podarcis lilfordi (Lilford's wall lizard)
Lineage: Eukaryota; Metazoa; Chordata; Lepidosauria; Squamata; Lacertidae
Source: RNAcentral